Molecule: ribosomal RNA, 483 nt
Filed under: uncultured bacterium
Lineage: Bacteria
Description: partial 16S ribosomal RNA
Rfam family: Bacterial small subunit ribosomal RNA
Source: RNAcentral
GACGAACGCUGGCGGCGUGCUUAACACAUGCAAGUCGAACGCUGAAGCUCAGCUUUUGUUGGGUGGAUGAGUGGCGAACGGGUGAGUAACACGUGAGUAACCUGCCCCCUUCUUUGGGAUAACGCCCGGAAACGGGUGCUAAUACUGGAUAUUCACUGGUCUUCGCAUGGGGGUUGGUGGAAAGGGUUUUUCUGGUGGGGGAUGGGCUCGCGGCCUAUCAGCUUGUUGGUGGGGUGAUGGCCUACCAAGGCUUUGACGGGUAGCCGGCCUGAGAGGGUGACCGGGCACAGUGGGACUGAGAUACGGCCCAGACUCCUACGGGAGGCAGCAGUGGGGAAUAUUGCACAAUGGGCGCAAGCCUGAUGCAGCGACGCCGCGUGAGGGAUGGAGGCCGUCGGGUUGUGAACCUCUUUCGCUCAUGGUCAAGCCGCAACAAUGGUUGUGGUGAGGGUAGUGGGUAAAGAAGCGCCGGCUAACUACGUG